Molecule: ribosomal RNA, 484 nt
Filed under: uncultured bacterium
Lineage: Bacteria
Description: partial 16S ribosomal RNA
Rfam family: Bacterial small subunit ribosomal RNA
Source: RNAcentral
AUUGAACGCUGGCGGCAGGCCUAACACAUGCAAGUCGAGCGGAUGAAGGGAGCUUGCUCCUGGAUUCAGCGGCGGACGGGUGAGUAAUGCAUAGGAAUCUGCCUGGUAGUGGGGGAUAACGUCCGGACACGGGCGCUAAUACCGCAUACGUCCUGAGGGAGAAAGUGGGGGAUCUUCGGACCUCACGCUAUCAGAUGAGCCUAGGUCGGAUUAGCUAGUUGGUGGGGUAAAGGCCUACCAAGGCGACGAUCCGUAACUGGUCUGAGAGGAUGAUCAGUCACACUGGAACUGAGACACGGUCCAGACUCCUACGGGAGGCAGCAGUGGGGAAUAUUGGACAAUGGGCGAAAGCCUGAUCCAGCCAUGCCGCGUGUGUGAAGAAGGUCUUCGGAUUGUAAAGCACUUUAAGUUGGGAGGAAGGGCAGUAAGUUAAUACCUUGCUGUUUUGACGUUACCAACAGAAUAAGCACCGGCUAACUUCGUG